AAAAAAAAAAAAAAUUUUAGAAAAGGGUAAUUUUAUAAUUGUUAUGUAUAGGUAUACUUUUCUCCCACAUGUCUCCAAAGGAAAAUAAAGGUUAUUUUCCAUCCUCCCUUUAUUAUAUCUUUUUUUCAAACAAAGGAAAAUGUCAAUCAUUCUUUAUUUUUCUCAGCUUAUUUUUCUUCCCCUCUACUUUCCACACAUCCAAACAAGGGCUAAAACCAGUCAUACUUCAUCACAUAUAACACUGUCAGAUCACAUGGGGAACUUGUUUUCUUGCUUCCAUUAGCCAUUUAUUCUAGUUUUGAUAAGUUAGGGGAUAUGUGGUAUUAAUGAAUUCAUGGUCUUGCACAUAGGGUGAUUGAUUUUAUGGAUAUUACAAUUUUACAGGUUGCUUGUGGGAAACGAGCUGG
Molecule: unclassified non-coding RNA, 407 nt
Filed under: Hevea brasiliensis (rubber tree)
Lineage: Eukaryota; Viridiplantae; Streptophyta; Magnoliopsida; Malpighiales; Euphorbiaceae
Source: RNAcentral